GAGGUGAGUGUGGGGUCGGAUUCUUCUCCUGAGGCGUCCGAGUUUCGCGUCCGACCCAUCCCGGCGGGUCUCGGCGCUGGUCCCCUGCCUCGCCGCCAGAUGAUGUCAUCCCGGGCUGGUACCGCGGCCCUUUGACGUUUUAUUUAGUCAUGGCAACGGUAGCCUGUUCUCUGGGAUCAACGUCUUCAGUUUAAAGAGCUGCAGUCGCUUCUGUCUCUGUGUUUUACGCUGCGUUCUUUUGGCCGAAAUAUUUUAAUUUGUGCAUCGGGUCGUAGAACAACUGAAGGAGAGGUCUGUGUGGUCACAGCUGCACAGGAAACAGGAAAUGGCAUUCACGGCCACAGCUGUCCUGGCCUUGCGGGCUGGGCAGAAGCCAAUUCUAACGGCGAAGUAAAACCGUAAGCAACAGCGAGUGGGAACGGGGAGUGAUGAGUUCCGCCAGUCACAGCGGUGGCUUUAUGAAAUUCCUUGGAGGAGUGGUCCUGGAGCGCCAUGAACCAAAAGGCUCUGCCGCGUGAAUUCCUACUAAAGAAUAAAAAUACCAUAUUAAGCUAAUCUUUUGGAAGGCUUUAGCUUGCGGGGCUGUCUGAGGGGAAAUCGCACGACAGCUUGCUUGGCCUUUAGGAGGGAACAGAUCUAGUUGAGGAACAUGGGAGAGGCGGCUGCUUAGGUGUUUCGGACUGCGAUUCAGUUUGUGAGGCAGCAGUAGGAGAAGGGGUGUAACUGGAGUGGCCGUGGUGAAACCCUGUCCAAAAUCACCUUCACUGUGCAGAAGUUGGAGGUGGUCUAACCUACGGGACUGCGACAAUCCUGGAGAAAAUCACUCGCUGGAGGAGCCUCCCUGGCUUAGCUGGGGUGUCUGUCACCUGCCAAAUAAAGAAGCUGGAACAGCCUAUCCACAGCAAACCUGACAAGUACGCUAGAUCUCCGCUACGUCGCGAGCGUGUGGUUGAAGAUGCGCAUUCAGACGUCUCUUCCCACGCGCAGAACACGGUAUUUAAUCGACUCGCCCCCUGGAGAGAAGCGUUACUGCAGUGCAUUGUAUUUCACAAGCGGUGAUACGUAUUCAAUAAGAACACAAGAAUUCACCCUGUGGAAAUGGGCUUCACAAUCACCGUGCCCGUGAGCCACCCCCUGGGCGUCACGGGUCAGUUCGUGCCUUUGUGCAGGGCGAUGCUGGGAAGGCCCUUCCAGUAGAAUGUGAAGACGACGACUUUGACUAUGUCCACUGAAGUACCUGCAGCCAAAGGACGAGAGUGAAUACCUGCUUGCCUGCACGUCACCUAGUGACACUCGCGUAGCUGUCUACGAACAGCCGGAAUUGAGCACAAAGUGUAUAUUCAGUCCUUAAACGUUGCAGGAAGUGUCCGUUACGGAUGUUUUGAAGGAAGCCCAUGGCACCAGGGUAGCACGUGAAAGCUCAAUCUUGUAUUACCUCAUUUUGCUCUCUUUCUCUUACGUAAAAGCAUUUAAAGCAGAUGAAAACAUCUGGUGUACUAAGAAAAACCUGCAGUGGAGGCAGCACAGUAGUCAGACCCCUUGGAAGAAAGCACCUUGUCAUUUGCUUGAGUGCUCAGUACAAGUUUUAUCAGACAAGGGUGAAUCACAGGCUGCUUUUUUACCCUGGGGAGCAGGGAGUUCCCACUCUUAGACAACAUGUUUUGUCUUACUAAAGUUUUGGCAGCUCAGCUUGAAGGUGGGUACUGAUCAACAGUGACAAUUCUGUGGGGUCACUGUGUGACUUAAUUAAGUGCAAUAGCUGCAGUAACGAAGCCAACUAAACAGUGCAUAGGUGAUGAAGCUGUUUUAGCCUUUUUCUAAUGAUAACGGCACUUAGGCUGUGAUCACAAUUGGAAAAGUCCAGAUAUUUUUGGAGCUGAGCAAGUCUGUCUAGCUUGUUCUCUGUACUACUGCGAAAGGUGAUCAGAGUACUGGUACCUUCAUGUUUUUGUCUCUGUGCAAACACCCCUUACUGCUCAAUACAAAAACCAGGGCAGGCUGUCAAGGAAAUAGCGUAGCUAGAUCUCUUUUGGCGAUUUACUGUGUGUAACAAUCGUAAAAGCAAGAGGUUGACAGUCCAAAGAAGUACGAUUGCUUGUUCAGUGGUUGCAGAUUGUCUCAUGCAGUAGUGUUGCUAUUUCUGUACAGUCCCUGAGCUGUAAUUCUUGUAGCUUUAGAGCCUUUUGGAUUGUUGAAGUGAAAGUUUUGCCAAUAAAGCUUCUAGCAUUAAGAACUUGAGUAUACAGUGUACAGAAUCUGUGUAGCGGAAGGCACUUUAUAAAUAACGAUAGCUCAGAUUAGGUGCUGGCAGUAAGUGAAUGCUGGCAUUGUGCAGCUAAAUUAUAAACGUACUCAGUUCCAAAAUUUGAGACAAAUUUCUCUCUUGUAAGAAUAUCAGGGAAUUAGAAGGAUUUUAUCAGAAUAAUCUGACUUUGUACAUUUUUCUUUGAAAAUGUGCUUUUAAAAUAGGGGAGGUGUACAGAAGGAAGGGGGGUGGGGGAGAAAAAACAUUUUAUUCUGCUCCCCCUUCAAAAAUGAACAGAGAGCAGCUAUCUAGUAGCAGCAGCUUGUAAUAAGUGAUUAUGCAAAACAACGUAUUGUCACUUUCCACCAACUGCUAAACAGCAUAGUACUUUUCAAAACAUAAAUUUGGCAAAGAGGCUUGCUUGUACGCUGUUUCACAGCUAAUCACACCUUUAAUUUUUUCUGCUUAAUUGGGACAUCUAAGAGUUCAGCAAGAGAAACGAAGAGGUGAAAUACCUCUAAAUUCCCAUGGCAAAGGUGGACCUUGGCACGUUGUCACGGAACGCAAAGUCAUUAUCGCAGCUGCUACUGAAAUAUAUUUUGCAUUAAUGUAAAAUGAAUAUAGCACAGAGCCAGACAAAACUACAGAGCUGUACAAUUUCAGGUUCAAGGUCUGACAAGGGUGUUGUACUAGAUGUUUGAAAGGAGCAAAUAUGAAAAGGAAGUGGGGUGGAUGUUUUCUUGACGUCUUUCCCAGUCUUAAAAGGAGACACGUAAAACCAUUCUUCAUGUCUUCUGUGUUGGCUCUUAAAAGCCUUAAAUAAUGGGGGGAAAAAAAGGCUUAAAGCUUAAAAGCCUGAAAUCCUCUGGGACAAUCACUUCCGUUCCAACACCGUUAAAUAGUUAGGGGUCAUUUUGCCAGAGUGAAAGUUGUUGAAGUAUUUUGAUUGUACAAUUUCUGCUUUUUAAAUUAAACUAAUAGUAAUUUAGGUUACUUGUCUAAGGAGAAGGGUGAGGAACCUCCUAGCAGUCUACCAGCCUGUUACUUACUGUGUAUCAUUCAGCUUUGUAAAAUAAAUAACCCCAUGCACCAG
Long non-coding RNA from Aptenodytes forsteri (emperor penguin), 3338 nucleotides. RefSeq lists it as uncharacterized. NCBI's taxonomy places the organism in Eukaryota, Metazoa, Chordata, Aves, Sphenisciformes, Spheniscidae. The record is from RefSeq and is a predicted model, not a curated record. The transcript is spliced from 8 exons.